Neofelis nebulosa (Clouded leopard) is the source of this 2731-nucleotide long non-coding RNA. RefSeq lists it as uncharacterized. The transcript is spliced from 2 exons. The record is from RefSeq and is a predicted model, not a curated record. NCBI's taxonomy places the organism in Eukaryota, Metazoa, Chordata, Mammalia, Carnivora, Felidae.
GUGAAAACAGAGACAUAAUACCUAGUCUCCAAGUAGGUUUUAUCUUUGUUGAGAUUCAGUGAGCUAACGUCUGCACAGAAGGCUAGCCCUGCUCCAAGGAGGUGGAUUCCCUUUCCUUUUUCUUUUCCAGAUGAACCCCUCCUGGCCGUGUUUUGCAUAGGGACGCAUUUGCAGAACAAUCCUUAGCGAUACAUAGUGAAAUAAACAAACAAGUAAACAAACAAGAAAGCAAACAUUAAAACUGGGACUUUGUGGCGUCUGACCCACGGCCGCUGGGAUACGUGAACUGUAAGCCACAGAAUAUUCAGGACCUAGCACCCCGCAGGAUGGGGGAUGUGCAUCAGCCACACGUGCAGAUUGGUUCUCUAUCUCAGUUCCCCAAGCGGCUCUGGGGAUCCCCGAGACCCGCUUCCGCGUUAAGACCCGCAGCCGAGGCGGCAAGGUGUUGAGAAUGGUCUCCGAGACGAUAAACAAGCGUGAGAGGAGGAAGUGGGUGUCACCGCACACAGCCCGUGCCGGCCCGGGAACGCAGGCCGAGCUGUUUACAAAUCGGUGCCUGCAAAAAAAAAUUUGCGCUGCAAAGCUCAUUUCUUGCCGUCUGACCCCUCCCCUGGGGUGGGCCUUCCUUUAAACAAAGGACAGCUUCAGCAGCACUCAGAAACAAAUGUUUGCUUCCCCGGAGGGAGAAGGAGGGAGAAGGAGGGAGAAGGAGGGAGAAGGAGGGAGAAGGAGGGAGAAGGAGGGAGAAGGAGGCGCCCUGCGCGAUGCCAGAAAUAAGCCUUCCUCCUGUCACUUAGGAGCCUGUGGCGUCUUGUCGGCAGGAGACACCGCAGCAAGGGGACAGGCACCUGGAGAGAAUCAGAUUCCACAGAUAAUUACAGGAAGGGCAACCACAGGUCCCAGUGAGGCCAGCUGUCUGCGGGCGGUUUUCAUCGGGCUCUUUUUCACUCUAUUGACUGAUCUGCACGGAGUCAGUCUCCCCGAGGUGCCGGAAAGUAUCGCACACUGGGCGCCUUACACACAGAAAUCGAUCGCCCCACGGUUCCGGAGGCCAGAAGCCCAAGAUCGAGGCCUUGGCAGGGCUGGCUUCUUCCGAGGCCACCAGCGAGAAUUUAUUCCAUGCCUGUCUCCUGGCUUCUGGCUUCUGCUGGCAAGAUUUGACAUUCCAGAAGCAUCGUCCCGGUCCGUGUCUUGGUGGCCACGUGGUAGGCUCCCUGUCGGCAUGUCUGUGUCCAAAUCUGCCCUUUUUAUGAGGACGCCGGUCAUCCUGAAUCACUCCGGGAUGGCCUCGCCGUAACCAAUGGCACCUGUAAUGACCCUAUUUCCAAUAUGGCGACCUUCUGAGGCGCUGGGAGUUAGGUCCUGAACGUGUACGUUUGUGGGGGAUACAAUUCAACUCCUAACACCUGCUGUGUGGCACACCUUUGCUAGAAGCUGAGGGAGAGAAAGAGGUGGUGACACACAGCCUGUGCUUGGCUUACCCACAAGCCAGCCUGGAACACGGCCAGCAGGGCAUUCUGCAGCCCAGGAUACGGUUGAUGAGCGGGACAGUGGAGAUACGAGCCAAGUUCCAUGGGAGCAGGAAGGAGGGCACCUUACAGAAAUGGCAUUUGAGGACUGGGUUGAGACGUACAAUCUUUAAGUUGCUCUUUAGUGUGACGCUGAGGGGGGCUGUAGUAUCUGAGACUUGGUUUACCAGGACACAAGUUCAAAGUCCUCCCUGGUGUAUGUCUGGUCUCUCUCUGGUGCAGAACUGCAUGGCCGUUGUUAAAGCCAAUAUGCUGUGGAAUAUACACAGGCCGGUCUGGAGUAUGAAGUGGAAAUACUUGAAGUUUCAAGUAAUCAGUCACGAGAGAGCGCGCGAGAGAACGCGUGCGUAUGAGCCGAGGAGCAGAGAGAGAAGGAGAGAGAGAAUCACCGACUGUGAGACCAUGAUGUAAGCUGAAACCAAGAGCCGGACGCCUAACCGACUGAGCCAGCCCAGUGCCCCACGUCUCCAUUCUAUGUGGGGCUCGCAACGCCCUGCAGAAGGUAGGGUACCUCUGAACGGUGGCCAGUUCGGUUGUUUCACCCUAUGCAGCUGGGGACUUGGCUCCGAAAUUCCAUUGCCGUGUUCUGGCACAACACACAACCACUUCAACCCUUCUUCCUUUUCUCUUAGAAAGGCUGGGGCUGUGUUCUUGCAAAAACACAAUUUCGGGUGGUUCCUGCCAUGAGCUAGGGAGGCAGAGCCGAAAAGGCUUCGGUGUCAGACUGGUGUGGGCUCAGCUCUUGGUUCCCACACUCAGUGGCUUGGGGAUCUUGGGGACGCUACUUAACCUCUUGAAGGCCUAGUGUCCUCAGCUGAAACAUGGUACCAGUGCCACCCGCACCACAGGGUGACGUAGUGAUUGAGAGAGACACUUGCCGUAUGCCGUGCGAACGUCUGUCCUCUUCCUCUGGGUGAAAAGCCACAUGGCCUCAGUUUGGCUCAGGUACACCAGCCCAGUCAAGAUCGCAGCAAGUAAGCUAGGAACACUGUGAUCAACAAACCCGAUAAAGGUCAAACUUUCCAAUCGGCGCGAACCAUCACGUAACAGACAGAGUGCCCGAGGGCUGGCCUGUCUCCCCCUCUGGCCUGGUUUCUGGAGCCAGGCGACAAUAGUGAUCGCAGAACUGAAACAAAACAACAACGUGGGCAUGUUGUCCAUAUCGCUUUGGAUUUAUAAUGAAGUAUUGGCACUGGCACUAA